UACGAAGGGGGGCUAGCGUUGUUCGGAUUUACUGGGCGUAAAGCGCACGUAGGCGGAUCGUUAAGUCGGGGGUGAAAUCCUGGAGCUCAACUCCAGAACUGCCUUCGAUACUGGCGAUCUUGAGUCCGGAAGAGGUGAGUGGAACUCCUAGUGUAGAGGUGGAAUUCGUAGAUAUUCGCAAGAACACCAGUGGCGAAGGCGGCUCACUGGCCCGAUACUGACGCUGAGGCACGAAAGCGUGGGGAGCAAACAGG
Molecule: ribosomal RNA, 254 nt
Filed under: uncultured bacterium
Lineage: Bacteria
Description: partial 16S ribosomal RNA
Rfam family: Bacterial small subunit ribosomal RNA
Source: RNAcentral